GGGCCCGUAGCUCAGCGGUCAGAGCAGGCGGCUCAUAACCGCACGGUCCCUGGUUCGAACCCAGGCGGGCCCACCG
Molecule: transfer RNA, 76 nt
Filed under: Pseudomonadota bacterium
Lineage: Bacteria; Pseudomonadati; Pseudomonadota
Description: Proteobacteria bacterium tRNA-Met
Rfam family: tRNA
About the family: Transfer RNA (tRNA) molecules are approximately 80 nucleotides in length. Their secondary structure includes four short double-helical elements and three loops (D, anti-codon, and T loops).
Source: RNAcentral